This 253-nucleotide ribosomal RNA is filed under the name uncultured bacterium. RNAcentral's name for it is "partial 16S ribosomal RNA". It matches the Rfam family "Bacterial small subunit ribosomal RNA", at positions 524 to 776 of the family's 1533-position model. The record is from RNAcentral.
UACGGAGGGUGCAAGCGUUAUCCGGAUUCACUGGGUUUAAAGGGUGCGUAGGUGGGCAGGUAAGUCAGUGGUGAAAUCUCCGGGCUUAACCCGGAAACUGCCGUUGAUACUAUCUGUCUUGAAUAUAGAGGAGGUGAGCGGAAUAUGUCAUGUAGUGGUGAAAUGCUUAGAUAUGACAUAGAACAUCGAUUGCGAAGGCAGCUCGCUACACUAUUAUUGACACUGAGGCACGAAAUCGUGGGGAUCAAACAGG